This 206-nucleotide ribosomal RNA is filed under the name uncultured bacterium. RNAcentral describes it as "partial 16S ribosomal RNA". It matches the Rfam family "Bacterial small subunit ribosomal RNA", at positions 568 to 774 of the family's 1533-position model. The record is from RNAcentral.
UGCGUAGGCGGCGCGGUAAGUCGGGUGUGAAAUCUCGGAGCUUAACUCCGAAACUGCAUUCGAUACUGCCGUGCUUGAGGACUGGAGAGGAGACUGGAAUUUACGGUGUAGCGGUGAAAUGCGUAGAUAUCGUAAGGGAGACCAGUGGCGAAGGCGGGUCUCUGGACAGUUCCUGACGCUGAGGCACGAAGGCCAGGGAGCAAACG